RNAcentral lists this long non-coding RNA (431 nucleotides) under Prunus dulcis (almond). Its description in RNAcentral is "sRNA ncRNA". Lineage: Eukaryota; Viridiplantae; Streptophyta; Magnoliopsida; Rosales; Rosaceae. The record is from RNAcentral.
GCUGAUUAUUCUGUGAUGGUUGAUCUCGAGCAAAGGACUUGUUCUUGCCGUCUUUGGCAAAUUGACGGUUUUCCUUGCACACAUGCGGUGGCUGCAAUCCUAGCAAAGAGAGAUUCAGUUUAUGAUUACGUGGAGUGUUACUACAAAACCGACUUCUUUUGAAAAGCCUAUGAGAGUCCUAUUUUUCCUAUUCCAGAUAUUGGGAAAGGAUUGGGCAGCAAUGGUUCUGCAGCUGGAGUUGUGCUUCCGCCAAUUACAAAGAGGCCAGCCGGAAGACCACCAACAAAGAGGAUCAAAGUUUUUGGUGAAUUUAAAAGGCCAUUGAAAUGCAGUCGGUGCAGUGUUGCUGGGCACAAUAGGAAGACUUGCAAGGCUAUUAUAUGAACACUCCUUCUCAUUUGACAAUUUUUUAUUUUAGAUAUGGUUUAGCG